RNAcentral lists this long non-coding RNA (1036 nucleotides) under Sarcophilus harrisii (Tasmanian devil). Its description in RNAcentral is "lncRNA (ENSSHAG00000030096.1)". The record is from RNAcentral. Lineage: Eukaryota; Metazoa; Chordata; Mammalia; Dasyuromorphia; Dasyuridae.
UUAACCGGGUCCCAGAGGCGCGUUUUCUGCUCCAUCGCUUUCUGCCCCCUUUUACGUAAAAAAGCGACAGGCACUUAAACUAGCCUUAAAGAGUUCAGAUUUCUACAGCUGGGCCCAGGCCUUAGCACGCGGAGCGGGGAAAGAAUCUACAGUUUUCUCGUCCGUGACCUAAUUUAGCAGAAUUCGAACCCAGGCUCGCAAGCGGACGCGGUCCCCUCUUCAGGAUAAAAGUUCGGGGUCGGUGACCCCCGGCGCCACGUCCCGAGCCCAGGAAUCAGUAACUCAAAGCCAGAGGCAAGGCUCCUCCCAUCAGAAGCCUCGGUAAAGCCACGCGGGCCAAACGGUUUGGGCAAGUCCAGCUCGGGGAAAAGCGCUCCGACUUAGCGGAGUGGCCAGCCCCGCGGCACGCCCACCCUCUCGCGCCUGCCCGGGACUCCACCCCGCCCCUUUCUCCAGGCCCGCCCGCCCGCUCGCCCCGCCCACCCCUCCACUCUCGGCUCUCGGCUCUCGACCCUCGACCCUCGACCCCCGACCCUGUCUAUGCUGUCUCGGAUCGCAAGCUCUCGGAGACUGCUCCACGAUUUCUGGCCUCGCUUCUCCACUGGUAUGAUGGGAGACUUAGCCUCAAAGCUCAUCAGACGCGAGGACGCUAUAGCCGGCCGCAGCGAACCGCUGAAAGUAGCAGGUCCUCUCCUCGGGGGUCAGUAUUUGCCGUUUCUUCCAGCCCAGCCCAUAAGAAGCACUUGCCUGGGAAACACUGCUGCUUUGGGAGGGGAAGUCACGGGAAGUGCGCAGGGAACAUUGAACACAACUGCUUCUGUACAAGAGGAAUGAGAUACACUGAGACGGAGGAAAGAAGAGAAUUCAUGCUCAUUCAGGUGAAUGAAGGGGUUAAAGAACCUUGAAGUAAAAUGGUCUACAGCAUUCUCAAAACACCUGGAGUUUAUUUUUCAUUGGAAAAAAAAAAAACUGAAACAUCUAUCACAGAUUGUGUAAUUGCCCUUCUUUCUCAAAUAAACUUAUAGCCAAUGGAAAU